Molecule: long non-coding RNA, 5470 nt
Filed under: Sus scrofa (pig)
Lineage: Eukaryota; Metazoa; Chordata; Mammalia; Artiodactyla; Suidae
Description: lncRNA (ENSSSCG00000053906.1)
Source: RNAcentral
AUAGUAAUGUUUCUAUAUAAAACUAAGAGAUUAAUGCCAAAGGAAAGAAGAGUCCUGCUGGCACAUUAUUCAUUACUUGUCUAAUUUAUAUUAAAUGUACUAAUGGUACAGUGAAAAGAGACCUUUUUUUAAACAAGUAUCUCUUUGAUUUUCCAUUUCAUGUGAAAAAAACAGAGCAUUAUUCCAUAGGAAAAAAAAAAUUUAAGUGAAAGCUUUAAAUAUUUUAAAGUAUUUAUCAAACAGUAAAGUAACUCUUAGAAACACAUCAGGUAUAAAAUAUGAAUUAAUUAAUUCAUAACCAUAAUUAGUAUAUGAAAUUCAAAAGGGUUAAUUCAUUAAUGCUACACUGAUGCCGAGUAUGGUGAGUGAACCAAGCAUUUCAGUUUUGAUCAACAAUGAAUCAGUUUAAAAACAUAUAAGCUAUAACUGCUAAAAAAGUGACAAAAUAAAACGAUGCCUAAAAAUUAUUGGAACACCUGCUUUAAGUGAAGCAAUUCUUACUGAAAUUAAAAAUAUUUAUUUCACUUUAAACACUUCAAUUUUUACAUAAAGCUAGGAGUGAAAAAUUUUAUUGUAAAAUUUAAAACUCCUAAAAUGACUAGAGAAAUUAGAAUGACACUCAAAAACUUGGCGGGGGGCGGUGGGGAGGGGACCCUGUAAUUCGUGUUUGAGUUUGUCUAAGUCUUGAUUCUGUGAAAACACUUCGCAAAAAUUAUCUUUCUUUUCUUGACAAUACACCAGAUCCUGACUUCACCACCUUGACAAUACACCAGAUUCAGCCCUCACUCCCCCAACGCACCUCAGCAUGGAAGCGAUACACACCGGGUACAGAAGGUUGAAAAGCACACACUCUUCUCCUUUUAAUGCGCGCUCUGAUGAAUGGCACACACACAAGCCAUAUUGCCCAUCUCUCAGAGUGGCCUUCGCUGCCAGCACAGCUGAAAUCUGGAGGCUGGCUGCAUUCACAUUGUCAGCUUAAAUACCCAGUAAGGACUCAAACUGGGAAUAAGACAAAGUACCAGCGCAUGUUGAUCCACUUCACUGGCCCCACCAAUUAGCUGUGAAGAAUAUGGCUCAUUUAGAAGUGUAUAUGAUAAUACUGAAGCAUAACUGAAAAUUAGAUAUAUAAAAAAGGAGGUCAUUAGCUUGGACUUGUCUUAUCUUCAGCUAAAUGAAUCGCAGAUAAAAUCAAAUAGGGUAAGUUUAAGUUGUCUUAAGCUUUGGAGCCCUUUCUUAUGUACUUACAUUAGAUGCAUCUCUAUAAAGAAAGUUUAUAGCAUUGCUAUUUACAACACCACAGUUAAUGUUGUGUUACAGUUUUCAUUACCAACCUCUAUUUUCAGAGGUGCAUAGCCUUAAACAUAAAAAUGUGUUCUAGGUUAAAAAGAAAAGUGGUGUAGUAGAUUACAACCAGAAAAUCAACCUAAAGACAAUAUCUAUGCAAUUUUCAAAGUAGUGGAAUCCCAAGAUAGCACACAAUUACAUUGGCACCUGCUAUGUGUUAAUGAAUUCUUAUAGAUUAAAAAUAUAAUCUUCUAAUGGAAAAUUAAAUGUAAUUUAUCUGAAAUAUAUACUCAAGAGACAUGUUUGUUUGUGAGCAAGAAAUUUAAAUGUGACUCAUUAUUGACGGAAUUUAGCCAAAUAAAGAAAAUUAUGAAGUAUGUGCAGUUGUGUAAAUUCAUAAUUAUAAGUUACCUGCAGUUCAUAGAUUAUGUACUUAUCAUAAAAACAUUAUUAGAACAUAAAGAUGUAAAAUAUAGUGUCUUUGUCCCAUAGAAAAAAUUCUUAUUAUCAAUUAGAGAAUGCAAAAUGUUUCAGUCAGAAGAUAGGGGCCCAUAGCAGAGUUGUGAUGGUAUUGCAACAAACACACUGCUUGGAUGGGUUGAUAGCUUGGCAGCAAUUGUUUUUGGCUUGUUUGACUAUUCACUUUUCAAUUCUUAGCACUGAAGUUGUCAGGAGCACACCUGACAACACUUACGUGGAAUAAAACACCUAGAGAUAGGUGACUCCCAACCUAUCAGUUGGGGACACAGGAUCCAGAAGGUCAAAUCUGGGAGACUCCUCUCAACAUCUGUCUAUCCCAGUUAUAGACAUUAUAACUAUAACUGGCCCCAUUACAUCCAGAACCCUAAUGUCCCUGAAGGAUGAUAGGGGAAGGGAAAUAUGGCAUCUAGUCUUUAAAGUACACCUCUUGGUGGCAAGUCCUGCCUCAGGGGGACAACGUGGGCAUGAAAAAAUAUCCCACACUGGUAGUCUGUCUCAUGAAACUCCAGGGAGAAUGUUAAAUCUUGAAAGUCAUGAACAUUUCUGGGUCCAGUCAAGAAAAUUGAUUUGCAACCUGGGCUGGGCUACUUUAGGAUGAUCAUAGAAGAGCGUCUAAGACAGAGUGUCUAGGAAGACUAUGGAACAAACCUGAGCUUUGAACUCAGGCACCCAGUGGGAUUUUUGGCUUCUCCAUUGAGCCUCUACUUGACUUCUCUAGAGUCUGGUUUCUCUAAGUGGGAAAAUGAUAUUUACCUUGCCCAGUGAUUUGGGGGACUGAAUGAGAUUUUAUAUACAUACAACAUACUAAGAUAGAAAUGAAGGUGAUUCAUAUUAUAUAUUAUAUUAAUAUUAUACUUACCAUCAAUACAAUUGGUGACUGGUAGUAAGCCUCCAUGUUUCCCUUGGGUUGUCUUCAAAGUCCCUAUCUCUGACUCCCCUGAAUGCUCACUAUGUGGGAUUUUCAAGAUUGCUAGGCAGCAAAAUCAAGACAAGCCAGGGGUGAACAUCACCUCGUUCUCUCUAAGGGUUUCAUUUAUCAGUUCAGCAGGCAAGAGUAUCAGAGAUUUGAUUUUGAAUUGGUAGGAAAAAAAUGGGAAAUGUUUAACAAUUUUGUCAUGCUUUGGGUUGAGUUCCAACAUUUUUUUUUGACUUGUGUUGACAUUUAACCAUUUAAGUGAUCAUUUAAAAAUAACUGUGGGUUUUGACCAUCAUGUUAUAUAAUAGUUUAAAGUCGAUUUGACACAAAUUUACCUGUAAAUGGGCAGAAAGCAUUGGCUUGACACUUGUUCUGUUUGUUUCUCUAGGGUUUUAUAGAGAUACAUAUUAUGACAGACUUAAAACAAAUUGCAGGAUUUAGUGUUCUCAUUCCUCAGGUUGAGUACACACAGUAGAUAGUGUUGGAGCCACCAAAUUUCACAGAACAGUAAAUUUGUUAUAAGGAACUAUUGCCAAAUCCCAAAGGUAAUGAUAGUUGCCUCAUCAGAAAGCCGGCCAAUCUUCCUCUCCAGCAUCCUGUACAAGACAGAGAUCACCCUGCAGCUAUGCCUUCUUUCUGUAGCUGCUGUUAGCUAGAUCAAGGACCUCAAAGCCUUGCAGUAAUAUCCGCUGUAAGAACUCUGCCAGACCCAGUCAGUGGCAAGUGAACAGAGGGGACCCUUACUGCAAACUGACUGGUGCUGAGAAGCCCCGUUGUUCAUCUACAGACAAUAGCAUUGCGAUUCUGAAAAUGCCCCUUGCUACUCCCCAAGGCAGCCUCUGGCCCAAAACCUGUCUUCUCAUUGGACAAUAUCGAGUUUUAGGACUUCACUGCGUCCAGAAGAAUCAUAACUAUCCACUUCAGGUUUCCUCUCUUUAGACAAACCUCUCUUUGGCAGUGGCAGAGGCAAGCUAUGACAUUUAGAACGGAUAAGCAAUGAGGUCCUAAUGUGCAGCACAGGGAACUAUAUCCAGUCUCUUGGGAUAGACCAUGAUGGAAAAUAAUAUGAAAAAGUAUAUAUAUAUAUAUAUAUAUGUACACACACACACACAUAUACAUAUAUAUAAAUAUGACUGGGUCACUUUGCUGUACAGGAGAAAUUGGCAUAUCAUUGUAAACCGACUAUACUUUAAUUUUUAAAAAAGUUUAAAAGGUUUAAAACAAAAAAAAAGAAAGCUCCAGACUUAGCUACUUAAAAAAUAGCCAGAGAAGUCAGUGUGGGCUUUAAAAAAUACCAGUGUAUGUGUGCCUCUGUGUAAGUGCACAUACUCACACACACAGAAUGAAUAAAUUCAGAUAAAGAUGAGACUAAACAGUUUAAAUUACAAUCAUGUGGAGUUUUUUUGUUUGUUUGUUUUUGUUUUUUUUUUACUUUUGGUAAUUUAUUUAUAGUCAUAUUCUUAGUUCAGAAACUCUAACAUUUGAUCUGGGCUCUGUUUAAAUCAUCUGGAAGGCUCACUGUUUAUUUUUAAAAGUGAUAUAAAAUACUUAACUACACAAAUAGAAUAGUAGGACAAUCUAAUAACAUAUAUAUGUGUACUUGGAUGUGUGUAUAUAAUUAGAAAUUCCAGGUAUAGGAAGCUAGAAUCUGUUAAGAUUCCCCAAAUAGCUAAUUUUACCUUUUCUCAAUUCUGAUAUUAAGCAAAGUUCAUAGAAAAUUUUAUUUUCAGCUAAUCAUCGUAUACAUGUAUAAUUAUUGUCGACCUGUAAAGUAUCCAUCAGGAUACGCUUCUGGUUCAAUAAUGGCAUUUGUAGUAUGUCCACAUCCACUGAUCUAGGAUUCAAUGAAAUUCUUUAUCCUAAUUUGCUUAUUUGUAUGGUAGUAUGCUUGCACCAAGUUAAGAUUAUAAUUUAUAUUCAGAUAACCUAUUUUUUGUUUGCAGUUUGAUGAGGGGAGAUUUUUUAUGUAUACCUGGGGAUGACUCAGUAUCACCAGAUGGUGGUUUGCCAUCCACAGGUUCCACUUUGCCUGUUUUGCAAGUUUGUGACAGCCCACAGGGACAUGCUGAGGCAUCCAUCUAGUCAAUAAUGUAUCUGGGACAACUUUAAUGCAGCAAACAUCUUUAUGAGUUUAAAUGUCAUCUGUUUGUCCUCCUCCAAUAAAAUUGGUCAGUACAAUAAGGCAUGGCCUUCCAUUCAGGAAGAAAGCACUGUGUUAACUGCUCUGAUCUGGGCAAGCGAACAAAAUUAAUUACAGUCACUUUUAACUGAGUCUUCAAAUGGGACUACAGAACUCUUACUUUUAAAAUUCUGAUUCUUAUCAGGAGUCCAGAAAAUCAUUUCAGUAGGAACACUUUGCAUAUUGGUAAGAAUUACAAUGACAACAAGGAUGGUUAAUAUUAGCCAUUAUAACCUCUGUCAUUAUUACCAGUCAUGCUAUUUUUAAAAACAAGAAUCGCUAAUGUGAUAUAUGUGGUGCAGAACUUUUACCCUUUGAUUAGUCUCUAGAGUCUUGUGCUAUGGAGCAAAUAAUUUUCCAUCUGCCUUCAGAUUUUUCAAGUAUCAUGCUCUCUGAUGACUUGAAAUUGUCAAGGCGUUCCUCCGCCUCCCAUCUUUCAAAAAAGUGUAAUUUUUACAUUUCACAUAUAAAACAAACUUGCUAUUUAACCUAUUGUUAUAUUUAAAUUACUUGUUAAGGUCUUGUGAGCUAAUUUUGAUCUUAUCUGUAAGCUUCAUUCUUUAAAAUGCCUUCCAAGGCUUUAUGGUUUAGGAAUUCCAUUAUAGUCUUUC